GAUGAACGCUGGCGGCGUGCCUAAUACAUGCAAGUCGAGCGAACAGACGAGGAGCUUGCUCCUCUGACGUUAGCGGCGGACGGGUGAGUAACACGUGGAUAACCUACCUAUAAGACUGGGAUAACUUCGGGAAACCGGAGCUAAUACCGGAUAAUAUAUUGAACCGCAUGGUUCAAUAGUGAAAGACGGUUUUGCUGUCACUUAUAGAUGGAUCCGCGCCGCAUUAGCUAGUUGGUAAGGUAACGGCUUACCAAGGCAACGAUGCGUAGCCGACCUGAGAGGGUGAUCGGCCACACUGGAACUGAGACACGGUCCAGACUCCUACGGGAGGCAGCAGUAGGGAAUAUUCCGCAAUGGGCGAAAGCCUGACGGAGCAACGCCGCGUGAGUGAUGAAGGUCUUCGGAUCGUAAAACUCUGUUAUUAGGGAAGAACAAAUGUGGAAGUAACUAUGCACGUCUUGACGGUACCUAAUCAGAAAGCAACGGCUAACUACGUG
This 497-nucleotide ribosomal RNA is filed under the name uncultured bacterium. RNAcentral describes it as "partial 16S ribosomal RNA". It matches the Rfam family "Bacterial small subunit ribosomal RNA", at positions 28 to 507 of the family's 1533-position model. The record is from RNAcentral.